Molecule: transfer RNA, 73 nt
Filed under: Candidatus Ozemibacteraceae bacterium
Lineage: Bacteria; Candidatus Rifleibacteriota; Candidatus Ozemibacteria; Candidatus Ozemibacteraceae
Also listed under: 1 other name
Description: tRNA-Trp
Rfam family: tRNA
About the family: Transfer RNA (tRNA) molecules are approximately 80 nucleotides in length. Their secondary structure includes four short double-helical elements and three loops (D, anti-codon, and T loops).
Source: RNAcentral
AGGGCUGUAGCUCAAUUGGCAGAGCACCGGUCUCCAAAACCGGGGGUUAGGGGUUCGAUUCCCUUCAGCCCUG